AACAAAUCAGCACCUCCUGGUGCAAAGCAACUAACAUGGAAGUAUGGUGGAAAAGGGAUUGGUGAAGCAAGAUGCUGGUGAAGUAACUGUGAAAGGGAAGAGAAUAAACAGUGAGUGUCUUCUGUCUAGUCCCCAUUACCAACAACUUGCCCAAAGUCUCCUAAGAGCUUUGCAGCAGGACGUUUGUAAGAGGAAGCCAGCAGGAUCCAGAAGCCUCUGUGAAGAUGGAAGAAUGGAAGGAAUCCUUUACCUGGUCUUCUGGAGAUCUCAUUAGAUCCUACACAUUUGUGAUGCCCGUUACAAUCCAAGAGCUGCUUCCUUAAAGAAGCGUAGGAACAACAUGGACCCUUUUACAAGGUGA
Molecule: long non-coding RNA, 361 nt
Organism: Passer domesticus (house sparrow)
Lineage: Eukaryota; Metazoa; Chordata; Aves; Passeriformes; Passeridae
Exons: 3
Source: RefSeq, a predicted model, not a curated record